This 134-nucleotide ribosomal RNA is filed under the name Trichococcus flocculiformis. RNAcentral's name for it is "16S rRNA. Bacterial SSU". It matches the Rfam family "Bacterial small subunit ribosomal RNA", at positions 1 to 122 of the family's 1533-position model. Lineage: Bacteria; Bacillati; Bacillota; Bacilli; Lactobacillales; Carnobacteriaceae. The record is from RNAcentral.
AUUACAUGAGAGUUUGAUCCUGGCUCAGGACGAACGCUGGCGGCGUGCCUAAUACAUGCAAGUCGAACGGUCUUUUCUAUGGAAGCUUGCUUCCACUGAGAAGAUAGUGGCGAACGGGUGAGUAACACGUGGGU